This 304-nucleotide ribosomal RNA is filed under the name uncultured bacterium. Its description in RNAcentral is "bacterial SSU rRNA". It matches the Rfam family "Bacterial small subunit ribosomal RNA", at positions 28 to 333 of the family's 1533-position model. The record is from RNAcentral.
GACGAACGCUGGCGGCGUGCUUAACACAUGCAAGUCGAGCGGUAAGGCCCUUUCGGGGGUACACGAGCGGCGAACGGGUGAGUAACACGUGGGUGACCUGCCUUUAGCUCUGGGAUAAGCCUGGGAAACUGGGUCUAAUACCGGAUAUGACCUUAUGGCGCAUGUUGUGGGGUGGAAAGCCUUGUGCGGCUAGGGAUGGGCCCGCGGCCUAUCAGCCUGGUUGGUGGGGUGAUGGCCACCAAGGCGACGACGGGUAGCCGGCCUGAGAGGGCGACCGGCCACACUGGGACUGAGACACGGCCCA